This is a ribosomal RNA of 580 nucleotides. The stretch from base 505 to 580 matches the Rfam family "Eukaryotic large subunit ribosomal RNA", at positions 1 to 76 of the family's 3401-position model.
UGUGAAUUGCAGAACACAUUGAACAUCGACACCUUGAACGCACAUGGCGGCUUCGGGUUUACCCCGGGGCCACGCCCGUCUGAGGGUCGGUUGGCUAAAGCGAUCGCUACCUUGUCCGUAAAUUUUUUUUUUGUCCGGUCUCUAUCAUUUCUCGGGCUCUCGCGAGAUYGUGCAUGAGACUGGUACAUCAAAAUAAUUUUGGUAGCGCAUUGGGCCUUCGUGAAUAGCGUACGGUUAGCGCCCUUGCUCUCUGCGCUUCGUCGCAUGUUCUCGUGGCUUUAAGUACAGGAUGCGCCGUCGUCCUAUCUGUCCWACGAGAUGCUGCUCGCCUCGUCGGUGGUCUCUCGCUGCGCGACAGGUACCCGGCUCGUGCUUUAAAAGCGAGCUGUACGGACCUGGGACGCGCGUGAAAUGUUCGGGAGAUGGGCCGCAUAGCAGCGAUUCGUUCGGACUUACGGCGUCCGUCUUACACAUUAAUUUGUGUGGCGUGAAACAUUUUUUAUCCGACCUCAGAUCGGACGAGAUUACCCGCUGAAUUUAAGCAUAUUACUAAGCGGAGGAAAAGAAACUAACAAGGAUU